AGGAAAAUGACCGAUUUGUGCAACUAGAACUGCCUGCUCGGUACUUUGCCUUUUCCAGAGAGCUUGCUUAGAUGGCGUCCAUCAAACUCCUGAGAUCCACAUGUCCUGUGCUAUGUCCCCUCUCUACUCCCUGGAAGUGGAAGGGCAAGACAGCAUCUACAGAAGACCACUGCAACUAUGCCUGAAACACUGUUCCUGCCGAGAGCACUUCAGGUCAUCUGCUGUGGCCUUGGAAAGCAGCUCUCCCAAAGCACAGAGUGCAUUCUAGAAGAUCGUGCAGGCAUCUCAGAGGUUAUCUGGGAAGGGGGCAAUACGACAGCAGACACACCAAGUGAUCAACUUACCUCAAAACUGGAGGAAGUAAUGUAGAAGACUCGAGGACUUUUCCUCAACUGGGGAGAUGCAAUUGUUUGGAGGCCGGCAAUAGACUUAACCCUGAGGGUCAGCGGUCUCCGGGCCUGGUGGUGUUGGUCCUAAGGGCUGCCUUCACCAGUGAGUCUCCUAGAGAAGCACAGAGAUGAGCUUGUCAUUAUGAAGGACGACCCAUCAGGUAAAUGGCAUUGCUCUAAGCUUGGUGACCUGAAUUCCAUCCCUACAACAGUGGAAGAAGACGAGUGCUGUACGCUUGUCCUCUAACCUCUGGCACACUAGAAAUGUAAUGGAGCCUUUCUGGAAGGAAGACACAAGGAUGAUGGAACCCCUGAGCUUAGAAGAUAGAGUGAUUCCCUAGGACGCAGAAAACCAUGGGUCCCCUCUCCAUAAACAAAUC
Molecule: long non-coding RNA, 769 nt
Organism: Mus caroli (Ryukyu mouse)
Lineage: Eukaryota; Metazoa; Chordata; Mammalia; Rodentia; Muridae
Source: RefSeq, a predicted model, not a curated record